Molecule: ribosomal RNA, 2758 nt
Filed under: Klebsiella pneumoniae
Lineage: Bacteria; Pseudomonadati; Pseudomonadota; Gammaproteobacteria; Enterobacterales; Enterobacteriaceae
Also listed under: 2 other names
Description: bacterial LSU rRNA
Rfam family: Bacterial large subunit ribosomal RNA
Source: RNAcentral
CACUAUCGUUAACUGAAUACAUAGGUUAACGAGGCGAACCGGGGGAACUGAAACAUCUAAGUACCCCGAGGAAAAGAAAUCAACCGAGAUUCCCCCAGUAGCGGCGAGCGAACGGGGAGCAGCCCAGAGUCUGAAUCAGCUUGUGUGUUAGUGGAACGGUCUGGAAAGUCCGACGGUACAGGGUGAUAGUCCCGUACACCAAAAUGCACAGGCUGUGAACUCGAAGAGUAGGGCGGGACACGUGGUAUCCUGUCUGAAUAUGGGGGGACCAUCCUCCAAGGCUAAAUACUCCUGACUGACCGAUAGUGAACCAGUACCGUGAGGGAAAGGCGAAAAGAACCCCGGCGAGGGGAGUGAAAAAGAACCUGAAACCGUGUACGUACAAGCAGUGGGAGCACCUUCGGGUGUGACUGCGUACCUUUUGUAUAAUGGGUCAGCGACUUAUAUUCUGUAGCAAGGUUAACCGUAUAGGGGAGCCGCAGGGAAACCGAGUCUUAACUGGGCGUUAAGUUGCAGGGUAUAGACCCGAAACCCGGUGAUCUAGCCAUGGGCAGGUUGAAGGUUGGGUAACACUAACUGGAGGACCGAACCGACUAAUGUUGAAAAAUUAGCGGAUGACUUGUGGCUGGGGGUGAAAGGCCAAUCAAACCGGGAGAUAGCUGGUUCUCCCCGAAAGCUAUUUAGGUAGCGCCUCGUGAACUCAUCUUCGGGGGUAGAGCACUGUUUCGGCUAGGGGGUCAUCCCGACUUACCAACCCGAUGCAAACUACGAAUACCGAAGAAUGUUAUCACGGGAGACACACGGCGGGUGCUAACGUCCGUCGUGAAGAGGGAAACAACCCAGACCGCCAGCUAAGGUCCCAAAGUCAUGGUUAAGUGGGAAACGAUGUGGGAAGGCACAGACAGCCAGGAUGUUGGCUUAGAAGCAGCCAUCAUUUAAAGAAAGCGUAAUAGCUCACUGGUCGAGUCGGCCUGCGCGGAAGAUGUAACGGGGCUAAACCAUGCACCGAAGCUGCGGCAGCGACACUAUGUGUUGUUGGGUAGGGGAGCGUUCUGUAAGCCUGCGAAGGUGUGCUGUGAGGCAUGCUGGAGGUAUCAGAAGUGCGAAUGCUGACAUAAGUAACGAUAAAGCGGGUGAAAAGCCCGCUCGCCGGAAGACCAAGGGUUCCUGUCCAACGUUAAUCGGGGCAGGGUGAGUCGACCCCUAAGGCGAGGCCGAAAGGCGUAGUCGAUGGGAAACAGGUUAAUAUUCCUGUACUUGGUGUUACUGCGAAGGGGGGACGGAGAAGGCUAUGUUAGCCGGGCGACGGUUGUCCCGGUUUAAGCAUGUAGGCUGAUUGUCCAGGCAAAUCCGGAUAAUCAAGGCUGAGGUGUGAUGACGAGGCACUACGGUGCUGAAGUAACAAAUGCCCUGCUUCCAGGAAAAGCCUCUAAGCAUCAGGUAACAUCAAAUCGUACCCCAAACCGACACAGGUGGUCAGGUAGAGAAUACCAAGGCGCUUGAGAGAACUCGGGUGAAGGAACUAGGCAAAAUGGUGCCGUAACUUCGGGAGAAGGCACGCUGGUGUGUAGGUGAAGUCCCUGCGGAUGGAGCUGAGACCAGUCGAAGAUACCAGCUGGCUGCAACUGUUUAUUAAAAACACAGCACUGUGCAAACACGAAAGUGGACGUAUACGGUGUGACGCCUGCCCGGUGCCGGAAGGUUAAUUGAUGGGGUUAUCCGUAAGGAGAAGCUCUUGAUCGAAGCCCCGGUAAACGGCGGCCGUAACUAUAACGGUCCUAAGGUAGCGAAAUUCCUUGUCGGGUAAGUUCCGACCUGCACGAAUGGCGUAAUGAUGGCCAGGCUGUCUCCACCCGAGACUCAGUGAAAUUGAACUCGCUGUGAAGAUGCAGUGUACCCGCGGCAAGACGGAAAGACCCCGUGAACCUUUACUAUAGCUUGACACUGAACAUUGAGCCUUGAUGUGUAGGAUAGGUGGGAGGCUUUGAAGCGUGGACGCCAGUCUGCGUGGAGCCAACCUUGAAAUACCACCCUUUAAUGUUUGAUGUUCUAACGUUGGCCCCUGACCGGGGUUGCGGACAGUGUCUGGUGGGUAGUUUGACUGGGGCGGUCUCCUCCCAAAGCGUAACGGAGGAGCACGAAGGUUAGCUAAUCCUGGUCGGACAUCAGGAGGUUAGUGCAAUGGCAUAAGCUAGCUUGACUGCGAGCGUGACGGCGCGAGCAGGUGCGAAAGCAGGUCAUAGUGAUCCGGUGGUUCUGAAUGGAAGGGCCAUCGCUCAACGGAUAAAAGGUACUCCGGGGAUAACAGGCUGAUACCGCCCAAGAGUUCAUAUCGACGGCGGUGUUUGGCACCUCGAUGUCGGCUCAUCACAUCCUGGGGCUGAAGUAGGUCCCAAGGGUAUGGCUGUUCGCCAUUUAAAGUGGUACGCGAGCUGGGUUUAGAACGUCGUGAGACAGUUCGGUCCCUAUCUGCCGUGGGCGCUGGAGAAUUGAGGGGGGCUGCUCCUAGUACGAGAGGACCGGAGUGGACGCAUCACUGGUGUUCGGGUUGUCAUGCCAAUGGCACUGCCCGGUAGCUAAAUGCGGAAGAGAUAAGUGCUGAAAGCAUCUAAGCACGAAACUUGCCCCGAGAUGAGUUCUCCCUGAGACUUUAAGUCUCCUGAAGGAACGUUAAAGACGAUGACGUUGAUAGGCCGGGUGUGUAAGCGCAGCGAUGCGUUGAGCUAACCGGUACUAAUGAACCGUGAGGCUUAACCUU